Molecule: ribosomal RNA, 449 nt
Filed under: uncultured bacterium
Lineage: Bacteria
Description: partial 16S ribosomal RNA
Rfam family: Bacterial small subunit ribosomal RNA
Source: RNAcentral
GACGAACGCUGGCGGCAUGCCCAACACAUGCAAGUCGAACGAGAUCUUCGGGUCUAGUGGCGCACGGGUGCGUAACGCGUGGGAAUCUGCCCUUUGGUUCGGAAUAACAGUUGGAAACGACUGCUACUACCGGAUGAUGACGAAAGUCCAAAGAUUUAUCGCCAGAGGAUGAGCCCGCGUAGGAUUAGCUAGUUGGUGUGGUAAAGGCGCACCAAGGCGACGAUCCUUAGCUGGUCUGAGAGGAUGAUCAGCCACACUGGGACUGAGACACGGCCCAGACUCCUACGGGAGGCAGCAGUGGGGAAUAUUGGACAAUGGGCGAAAGCCUGAUCCAGCAAUGCCGCGUGAGUGAUGAAGGCCUUAGGGUUGUAAAGCUCUUUUACCCGGGAUGAUAAUGACAGUACCGGGAGAAUAAGCUCCGGCUAACUCCGUGCCAGCCGCCGCAGUAA